Selaginella moellendorffii is the source of this 82-nucleotide transfer RNA. It matches the Rfam family "tRNA". Rfam says of the family: Transfer RNA (tRNA) molecules are approximately 80 nucleotides in length. Their secondary structure includes four short double-helical elements and three loops (D, anti-codon, and T loops). Further hydrogen bonds mediate the characteristic L-shaped molecular structure. tRNAs have two regions of fundamental functional importance: the anti-codon, which is responsible for specific mRNA codon recognition, and the 3' end, to which the tRNAs corresponding amino acid is attached (by aminoacyl-tRNA synthetases). tRNAs cope with the degeneracy of the genetic code in two manners: having more than one tRNA (with a specific anti-codon) for a particular amino acid; and 'wobble' base-pairing, i.e. permitting non-standard base-pairing at the 3rd anti-codon position. The record is from Rfam. NCBI's taxonomy places the organism in Eukaryota, Viridiplantae, Streptophyta, Lycopodiopsida, Selaginellales, Selaginellaceae.
GUCAGUGUGUCCGAGUGGUUAAGGAGACAGACUCGAAACCUGUUGGGCUUUGCCCGCGCAGGCUCGAUUCCUGCUGAUGACG